UACGGGAGGCAGCAGUGAGGAAUAUUGGUCAAUGGGCGUUAGCCUGAACCAGCCAAGUAGCGUGAAGGAUGACUGCCCUAUGGGUUGUAAACUUCUUUUAUAAGGGAAUAAAACGGGGAACGUGUUCCCCCUUGCAUGUACCUUACGAAUAAGGAUCGGCUAACUCCGUGCCAGCAGCCGCGGUAAUACGGAGGAUCCGAGCGUUAUCCGGAUUUAUUGGGUUUAAAGGGUGCGUAGGCGGAAUGAUCAGUCAGUUGUGAAAGUUUGAGGCUCAACCUUAAAAUUGCAGUUGAUACUGUCAUUCUUGAGUGUACAAGAGGUGGGCGGAAUUCGUGGUGUAGCGGUGAAAUGCUUAGAUAUCACGAAGAACUCCGAUUGCGAAGGCAGCUCACUGGGGUACAACUGACGCUGAGGCACGAAAGUGUGGGUAUCAAACAGGAUUAGAUACCCUGGUAGUCCACACAGUAAACGAUGAAUACUCGCUGUUUGCGAUAUACAGUAAGCGGCUAAGCGAAAGCGUUAAGUAUUCCACCUGGGGAGUACGCCGGCAACGGUGAAACUCAAAGGAAUUGACGG
This 576-nucleotide ribosomal RNA is filed under the name uncultured bacterium. Its description in RNAcentral is "bacterial SSU rRNA". It matches the Rfam family "Bacterial small subunit ribosomal RNA", at positions 340 to 916 of the family's 1533-position model. The record is from RNAcentral.